RNAcentral lists this small RNA (29 nucleotides) under Bombyx mori (domestic silkworm). RNAcentral describes it as "piRNA piR-bmo-1321150". Lineage: Eukaryota; Metazoa; Arthropoda; Insecta; Lepidoptera; Bombycidae. The record is from RNAcentral.
UAAUGAGGGUAAAUCGUACGAUAGUUGUG